GAUGAACGCUGGCGGCGUGCCUAAUACAUGCAAGUCGAGCGAACAGACGAGGAGCUUGCUCCUCUGACGUUAGCGGCGGACGAGUGAGUAACACGUGGAUAACCUACCUAUAAGACUGGGAUAACUUCGGGAAACCGGGGCUAAUACCGGAUAAUAUAUUGAACCGCAUGGUUCAAUAGUGAAAGACGGUUUUGCUGUCACUUAUAGAUGGAUCCGCGCCGCAUUAGCUAGUUGGUAAGGUAACGGCUUACCAAGGCAACGAUGCGUAGCCGACCUGAGAGGGUGAUCGGCCACACUGGAACUGAGACACGGUCCAGACUCCUACGGGAGGCAGCAGUAGGGAAUCUUCCGCAAUGGGCGAAAGCCUGACGGAGCAACGCCGCGUGAGUGAUGAAGGUCUUCGGAUCGUAAAACUCUGUUAUUAGGGAAGAACAAAUGUGUAAGUAACUAUGCACGUCUUGACGGUACCUAAUCAGAAAGCCACGGCUAACUACGUG
RNAcentral lists this ribosomal RNA (497 nucleotides) under uncultured bacterium. RNAcentral describes it as "partial 16S ribosomal RNA". It matches the Rfam family "Bacterial small subunit ribosomal RNA", at positions 28 to 507 of the family's 1533-position model. The record is from RNAcentral.